AUGCACUUUUUCGAGGAAAAGGAUAUUUCUGAUGUGCCAGAUAAAUCAUUGGAGGUAAAUUAGCAGUGUGGCUACUCUAGCCAUCGCUGUCAGUCACUUCCACACAUUG
This 109-nucleotide small nucleolar RNA is filed under the name Echinops telfairi (small Madagascar hedgehog). Lineage: Eukaryota; Metazoa; Chordata; Mammalia; Afrosoricida; Tenrecidae. The record is from RNAcentral.